Molecule: small nuclear RNA, 103 nt
Organism: Hyaena hyaena (striped hyena)
Lineage: Eukaryota; Metazoa; Chordata; Mammalia; Carnivora; Hyaenidae
Source: RefSeq, a predicted model, not a curated record
UUGCUUCGGAAGCACAUAUGCUAAAGCUGUAAUGAUACUCAGAGGAUUAGCAUGGCCCCUGUACAAGGAUGACACACAAAUUUGUGAAAUGUUCCAUAUUCUA